Molecule: ribosomal RNA, 1382 nt
Filed under: uncultured bacterium
Lineage: Bacteria
Description: bacterial SSU rRNA
Rfam family: Bacterial small subunit ribosomal RNA
Source: RNAcentral
GAAUUCGCCCUUAGAGUUUGAUCCUGGCUCAGGACGAACGCUGGCGGCGCGCCUAACACAUGCAAGUCGAACGAGCGAGAGGAGGUUUACUUUCUCAAGCGAGUGGCGAACGGGUGAGUAACGCGUGAGGAACCUGCCUCAAAGAGGGGGACAACAGUUGGAAACGACUGCUAAUACCGCAUAAGCCCAUGACCCGGCAUCGGGUAGAGGGAAAAGGAGCAAUCCGCUUUGAGAUGGCCUCGCGUCCGAUUAGCUAGUUGGUGAGGUAAUGGCCCACCAAGGCGACGAUCGGUAGCCGGACUGAGAGGUUGAACGGCCACAUUGGGACUGAGACACGGCGCAGACUCCUACGGGAGGCAGCAGUGGGGAAUAUUGCACAAUGGGGGAAACCCUGAUGCAGCGACGCCGCGUGGAGGAAGAAGGUCUUCGGAUUGUAAACUCCUGUUGUUGAGGAAGAUAAUGACGGUACUCAACAAGGAAGUGACGGCUAACUACGUGCCAGCAGCCGCGGUAAAACGUAGGUCACAAGCGUUGUCCGGAAUUACUGGGUGUAAAGGGAGCGCAGGCGGGAAGACAAGUUGGAAGUGAAAUCCAUGGGCUCAACCCAUGAACUGCUUUCAAAACUGUUUUUCUUGAGUAGUGCAGAGGUAGGCGGAAUUCCCGGUGUAGCGGUGGAAUGCGUAGAUAUCGGGAGGAACACCAGUGGCGAAGGCGGCCUACUGGGCACCAACUGACGCUGAGGCUCGAAAGUGUGGGUAGCAAACAGGAUUAGAUACCCUGGUAGUCCACACUGUAAACGAUGAUUACUAGGUGUUGGAGGAUUGACCCCUUCAGUGCCGCAGUUAACACAAUAAGUAAUCCACCUGGGGAGUACGACCGCAAGGUUGAAACUCAAAGGAAUUGACGGGGGCCCGCACAAGCAGUGGAGUAUGUGGUUUAAUUCGACGCAACGCGAAGAACCUUACCAAGUCUUGACAUCCUGCGACGAUGCUGGAAACAGUACUUUCCUUCGGGACGCAGAGACAGGUGGUGCAUGGUUGUCGUCAGCUCGUGUCGUGAGAUGUUGGGUUAAGUCCCGCAACGAGCGCAACCCUUAUGGUCAGUUACUACGCAAGAGGACUCUGGCCAGACUGCCGUUGACAAAACGGAGGAAGGUGGGGAUGACGUCAAAUCAUCAUGCCCUUUAUGACUUGGGCUACACACGUACUACAAUGGCGUUAAACAAAGAGAAGCAAGACCGCGAGGUGGAGCAAAACUCAGAAACAACGUCCCAGUUCGGACUGCAGGCUGCAACUCGCCUGCACGAAGUCGGAAUUGCUAGUAAUCGCAGAUCAGCAUGCUGCGGUGAAUACGUUCCCGGGCCUUGCACUCACCGCCCGUCA